Molecule: ribosomal RNA, 708 nt
Filed under: uncultured bacterium
Lineage: Bacteria
Description: bacterial SSU rRNA
Rfam family: Bacterial small subunit ribosomal RNA
Source: RNAcentral
AGAUACCCUGGUAGUCCACGCAGUAAACGAUGAAUACUGGGUGUUCGGAAUGUAGAUUCUGAGUGCCGAAGCGAAAGCGUUAAGUAUUCCACCUGGGGAGUACGCCGGCAACGGUGAAACUCAAAGGAAUUGACGGGGGCCCGCACAAGCGGAGGAACAUGUGGUUUAAUUCGAUGAUACGCGAGGAACCUUACCCGGGCUCAAACGCCGCCGGACAGGAAAAGAGAUUUUCCCUCCUACGGGUCGGCGGCGAGGUGCUGCAUGGUUGUCGUCAGCUCGUGCCGUGAGGUGUCGGCUUAAGUGCCAUAACGAGCGCAACCCCCAUCGACAGUUGCUAACAGGUAAAGCUGAGGACUCUGUCGAGACUGCCGGCGCAAGCUGUGAGGAAGGCGGGGAUGACGUCAAAUCAGCACGGCCCUUACGUCCGGGGCUACACACGUGUUACAAUGGGGCAUACAGAGAGUUGGUCAUGCGCAAGCAUGAUCGGAUCAUGAAAGUGUCCCUCAGUUCGGACUGGGGUCUGCAACCCGACCCCACGAAGCUGGAUUCGCUAGUAAUCGCGCAUCAGCCAUGGCGCGGUGAAUACGUUCCCGGGCCUUGUACACACCGCCCGUCAAGCCAUGAAAGCCGGGGGCGCCUGAAGUCCGUGACCGCGAGGGUCGGCCUAGGGUGAAACCGGUGACUGGGGCUAAGUCGUAACAAGGUAAC